ACACAUGCAAGUCGAACGAAGUCUUCGGACUUAGUGGCGGACGGGUGAGUAACACGUGGGAACGUGCCCUUUGGUACGGAGUAACUCAGGGAAACUUGAGCUAAUACAGUAUGUGCCCUUCGGGGGAAAGAUUUAUCGCCAUUGGAGCGGCCCGCGUCUGAUUAGCUAGUUGGUGAGGUAAAGGCUCACCAAGGCGACGAUCAGUAGCUGGUCUGAGAGGAUGAUCAGCCACAUUGGGACUGAGACACGGCCCAAACUCCUACGGGAGGCAGCAGUGGGGAAUCUUGCGCAAUGGGCGAAAGCCUGACGCAGCCAUGCCGCGUGAAUGAUGAAGGUCUUAGGAUUGUAAAAUUCUUUCACCGGGGACGAUAAUGACGGUACCCGGAGAAGAAGCCCCGGCUAACUUCGUGCCAGCAGCCGCGGUAAUACGAAGGGGGCUAGCGUUGCUCGGAAUUACUGGGCGUAAAGGGAGCGUAGGCGGACAUUUAAGUCAGGGGUGGAAUCCCGGGGCUCAACCUCGGAAUUGCCUUUGAUACUGGGUGUCUUGAGUAUGAGAGAGGUGUGUGGAACUCCGAGUGUAGAGGUGAAAUUCGUAGAUAUUCGGAAGAACACCAGUGGCGAAGGCGACACACUGGCUCAUUACUGACGCUGAGGCUCGAAAGCGUGGGGAGCAAACAGGAUUAGAUACCCUGGUAGUCCACGCCGUAAACGAUGAUUGCUAGUUGUCGGGAUGCAUGCAUUUCGGUGACGCAGCUAACGCAUUAAGCAAUCCGCCUGGGGAGUACGGUCGCAAGAUUAAAACUCAAAGGAAUUGACGG
This 818-nucleotide ribosomal RNA is filed under the name uncultured Alphaproteobacteria bacterium. Its description in RNAcentral is "bacterial SSU rRNA". It matches the Rfam family "Bacterial small subunit ribosomal RNA", at positions 51 to 916 of the family's 1533-position model. Lineage: Bacteria; Pseudomonadati; Pseudomonadota; Alphaproteobacteria. The record is from RNAcentral.